This 497-nucleotide ribosomal RNA is filed under the name uncultured bacterium. RNAcentral describes it as "partial 16S ribosomal RNA". It matches the Rfam family "Bacterial small subunit ribosomal RNA", at positions 28 to 507 of the family's 1533-position model. The record is from RNAcentral.
GAUGAACGCUGGCGGCGUGCCUAAUACAUGCAAGUCGAGCGAACAGAUGAGGAGCUUGCUCCUCUGACGUUAGCGGCGGACGGGUGAGUAACACGUGGAUAACCUACCUAUAAGACUGGGAUAACUUCGGGAAACCGGAGCUAAUACCGGAUAAUAUAUUGAACCGCAUGGUUCAAUAGUGAAAGACGGUUUUGCUGUCACUUAUAGAUGGAUCCGCGCCGCAUUAGCUAGUUGGUAAGGUAACGGCUUACCAAGGCAACGAUGCGUAGCCGACCUGAGAGGGUGAUCGGCCACACUGGAACUGAGACACGGUCCAGACUACUACGGGAGGCAGCAGUAGGGAAUCUGCCGCAAUGGGCGAAAGCCUGACGGAGCAACGCCGCGUGUGUGAUGAAGGUCUUCGGAUCGUAAAACUCUGUUAUUAGGGAAGAACAAAUGUGUAAGUAACUAUGCACGUAUUGACGGUAACUAAUCAGAAAGCCACGGCUAACUACGUG